Molecule: ribosomal RNA, 468 nt
Filed under: uncultured bacterium
Lineage: Bacteria
Description: partial 16S ribosomal RNA
Rfam family: Bacterial small subunit ribosomal RNA
Source: RNAcentral
GAUGAACGCUGGCGGCGUGCUUAACACAUGCAAGUCGAACGGAGAAGGCGGGCUUUGCUCUGGUGGCUGAGUGGCGAACGGGUGAGUAACACGUGAGUAACCUGCCCCUGACUCUGGGAUAACCGCAGGCAACGGCGACUAAUACCGGAUACGAGCUGCGGAGGCAUGGUGAGCAGCGGAAAAGACGGGCGGUGAGGGAUGGUCUCGCGGCUUAUCAGCUUGUUGGUGAGGUACUGGCUCACCGAGGCGUCGACGGGUAGCCGGCCUGAGAGGGUGACCGGCCACACUGGGACUGAGAGACGGCGCAGACGCCUACGGGAGGCAGCAGUGGGGAAUAUUGCACAAUGGGCGAAAGCCUGAUGCAGCAACGCCGCGUGUGGGAAGACGGCCUUCGGGGUGUAAACCGCUUUUAGCUGGGACGAAGCGAGAGUGACGGUACCUGCAGAAGAAGCACCGGCUAACUACGUG